Molecule: ribosomal RNA, 886 nt
Filed under: Akanthomyces sp. DT-2022d
Lineage: Eukaryota; Fungi; Ascomycota; Sordariomycetes; Hypocreales; Cordycipitaceae
Description: partial large subunit ribosomal RNA
Rfam family: Eukaryotic large subunit ribosomal RNA
Source: RNAcentral
UAUCAAUAAGCGGAGGAAAAGAAACCAACAGGGAUUGCCCCAGUAACGGCGAGUGAAGCGGCAACAGCUCAAAUUUGAAAUCUGGCCCCCCGGGUCCGAGUUGUAAUUUGCAGAGGAUGCUUCUGGCGAGGUGCCUUCCGAGUUCCCUGGAACGGGACGCCACAGAGGGUGAGAGCCCCGUCUGGUCGGACACCGAGCCUCUGUGAAGCUCCUUCGACGAGUCGAGUAGUUUGGGAAUGCUGCUCAAAAUGGGAGGUAUAUGUCUUCUAAAGCUAAAUAUUGGCCAGAGACCGAUAGCGCACAAGUAGAGUGAUCGAAAGAUGAAAAGCACUUUGAAAAGAGGGUUAAAAAGUACGUGAAAUUGUUGAAAGGGAAGCGCCCAUGACCAGACUUGGGCCCGGUGAAUCACCCAGCGUUCUCGCUGGCGAACUUUGCCGGGCACAGGCCAGCAUCAGUUUGGCGCGGGGGAAAAAGGCUCUGGGAACGUGGCUCCCCCGGGAGUGUUAUAGCCCACCGCGUAAUACCCUGCGCCGGACUGAGGUACGCGCAUCGCAAGGAUGCUGGCGUAAUGGUCAUCGGCGACCCGUCUUGAAACACGGACCAAGGAGUCGUCUUCGUAUGCGAGUGUUCGGGUGUCAAACCCCUACGCGUAAUGAAAGUGAACGCAGGUGAGAGCUUCGGCGCAUCAUCGACCGAUCCUGAUGUUCUCGGAUGGAUUUGAGUAAGAGCAUACGGGGCCGGACCCGAAAGAAGGUGAACUAUGCCUGUAUAGGGUGAAGCCAGAGGAAACUCUGGUGGAGGCUCGCAGCGGUUCUGACGUGCGAAUCGAUCGUCAAAUAUGGGCAUGGGGGCGAAAGACUAAUCGAACCUUCUAGUAGCUGGUUUC